RNAcentral lists this long non-coding RNA (297 nucleotides) under Elaeis guineensis (African oil palm). RNAcentral describes it as "long non-coding RNA (EGUI_LNC051218)". The record is from RNAcentral. Lineage: Eukaryota; Viridiplantae; Streptophyta; Magnoliopsida; Arecales; Arecaceae.
CCGCAGUGAAAGCAGGUACCCUGUCUUGAGACUUUCUUCCCCUUCUUCUUCAUUUUGUCAUCCUUAGAAUUCAGUGCUUUCUUUGAACCCUUAAAAUCUGAUUUCUUCUUAAAAAUUUUAUCUACAAGAAGAAGUGGAGCCUUUUCUUUCUUAAUAUGGCUCUCAGUUGUCUUAAGUAUAUUCAACAGCUCUGGCAAGGAGGUAUUCAGUUUGUUCAUGUGAUAGUUCAUGACAAAUUGAGCGAAUGAUUCGGAGAGAGAUUGCAUGAUCAAAUUCUGACUUAAUUCUUCAUCCAUC